This 411-nucleotide ribosomal RNA is filed under the name Verrucomicrobiota bacterium. Its description in RNAcentral is "Verrucomicrobia bacterium partial 16S ribosomal RNA". It matches the Rfam family "Bacterial small subunit ribosomal RNA", at positions 355 to 776 of the family's 1533-position model. Lineage: Bacteria; Pseudomonadati; Verrucomicrobiota. The record is from RNAcentral.
UGGGGAAUAUUGCACAAUGGACGGAAGUCUGAUGCAGCGACGCCGCGUGGGGGAUGAAGGCUUUCGGGCUGUAAACUCCUUUCAGUCCAGAAGAAGCUUUAUUGUGACGGUAUGUGCAGAAGAAGCGCCGUCUAACUACGUGCCAGCAGUCGCGGUAAUACGUAGGGCGCGAGCGUUGUCCGGAAUUAUUGGGCGUAAAGAGCUCGUAGGCGGUUUGUCGCGUCUGCUGUGAAAGACCGGGGCUUAACUCCGGGGCUGCAGUGGGUACGGGCAGGCUGGAGUGCGGUAGGGGUAACCGGAAUUCCUGGUGUAGCGGUGGAAUGCGCAGAUAUCAGGAGGAACACCGAUGGCGAAGGCAGGUUACUGGGCCGUUACUGACGCUGAGGAGCGAAAGCAUGGGGAGCGAACAGG